AAGGUAGCGAAAUCAUUUGUCUUUUAAUUGGAGACUUGUAUGAAUGGGGUUUUAGUUUUUCUUUUUUAUUUAAUUUAUAUUUAAUUUGUUUUUCAUUUGAAAACUUUUUGAUGUCUUUUAAAAGACUAAAAGACCCUUGGAUUUUUAUUUAUUUAAAAAUUUUACUUUUCUUAAAUUUAGAAUUAUUUUUUAAUUAUUUUUGAUUGGGGCAAUCUUUUAUUUAAAUUUAUAUAAAAUUGUUUUUUGAUCUUUAUUUUUGCUUUUGUUAAAAUACCCAAGGGUUAACAGCGUAAUUUAUUUGGUUAGUUCUUAUUAAUAAAUUUUAUUGCGACCUCGAUGUUGGUUUGUUUUUCCUUUUUGAGGCAGAAUGUAAAUUAGGGAGUCUGUUCGACUUUUAAAAAAACACAUGAACUGAGUUCAAGUCGGCGUGAGCCAGA
This 437-nucleotide ribosomal RNA is filed under the name Lebertia maculosa. RNAcentral describes it as "partial large subunit ribosomal RNA". The stretch from base 283 to 437 matches the Rfam family "Bacterial large subunit ribosomal RNA", at positions 2475 to 2630 of the family's 2925-position model. Lineage: Eukaryota; Metazoa; Arthropoda; Arachnida; Trombidiformes; Lebertiidae. The record is from RNAcentral. RNAcentral also lists the same sequence under 1 other name.